ACGGCGGCAGCGUCACCUUGGGCACGACAAUGGCCGGCAUCGGCGCCAUCGUCACCUGUGGCACCGUGGGGAGGGUGACCUUGGCCAUUGUCGUGCCCAAGGUGACGCUGCCGCCGUUGCCAUUCGUCCCGAGUGUGAAUGUGCCCAUGCCGUUCGCGGCGCCGCCCCCUUCAGCGUAGGCGCGCCCACGCGGCGAUGCUCUCGCCAUGUCCAGGACAGGGUGCUGUUCAUGUGAGAGUGGCGCCAGGUCACUCCGUGGACACGACGCACAUUUUAUUUCAUGCAUAUACGAUGUAUCAGCAAUUCUUGCCUUUUUUCUAAGACUCCGUACUAUAUACUGGUACUAUUUGACUGUUGAGGGCCGGUUUUGUCCCACUCUGUAUUUCUUGAUCUUCUUAAAUAUACAUUACUAUUUACGCUUUACUAUUCCCGCAAAAAAUACACAUUAGUACUAUUUACGCUUUUAUAUAACUCUAACAGCGAUGGUAAAAUUUUCUCUUUCCUCUUAUAUUUACGCUGUACUAAUUUUCCCAUGAUGUUUCUAUUUACGUUGUACUAUUCCUGCAAACCGAGCGCAAGGCAUGGCCAGCCGGCCACGCUCACUUCUUGUACUCUGUGGUCGUGGCCACUACAUCCGGGCACAUAAGUACACGGUCGAAGAUGAGAUGCGUAAAAGGGAUGCUGCUUCGGUGCCGUAACUGCACGUGUCUUUGUCCGAGUAAAAGAGGAUGGUGAUCCAAAUAGGUUAUGUUUUGUGUUGAGGUACAUGUUCUUCAAUUAACGGAUUUUUUGGCCUUUUGGAAAACUGGAUCGUACACAAAUAAAAAUCACGUAUAAUUAAAUAUGGUUCUUACACCCUACUCCUUCCAUUUCUAAAUAUAUGGCAUUUUGGUAGUUGAAAUUAAACCUCCAAAACGUCAUAUAUUUAGGAAGAGUUCCAUAAAGAAAUGAUUGUAACUGAUUUUUUGGCCUUUUGAAAAACUUGAUCGUAUACUAAUAAAAACCACGUAUAAGAAAAUAUGGUUCUUACAAUCUACUUAUUCAAACAAUCCCUAAAAAAGGAUUGUAACAGGAUUUCUGGCCUUUUGGAAAGCUUGUCAUACGUAAAUAAAAAAUAUGUACAGAAAAUAUGGCUCUUACGAUCUACUUAUUCAAACAAUUCCUAAAGAAAAUAUUGAGGGGUCGAUAAAGCAUUAGAAAUGGAUUUCACGGGAUGUUUUGCUCCAUAAGAUGAGGUCCCAAGGGAGAUUACUCCUGACAUAAGAGCAACUUUAGCAGACCCCGCAUUCCGCUGGCCCGUAAAACGCGUUUGCAGUUCGCGUAAAACCACUUUUACGACCGGCACGAGCUGGCACACAUGCAGACCCCUCAAAUGAAGCCAUAAAAAAAAUAUUCACGGAAUAUGCUUUUUUACGGGUCGGCUUCUGCGGGUUCUGUUCGGGCUCCACCGCGACGACCCGCAAACAGAAAACUGCAAAUCUCGCAUUUGACAUAGGGUUUGGCAAACAAGUUCAAAUUCAAACAAAAUAAACAGUUUACGCGUAAAUAAAAGUGAAGUUCAUUACGCAAAAGAGGACAUGCAAAGGUUUGCGUCCAUGUCCGGCAUCAUCUUGGGGGCGAUCUUCACUCCGCGCCAUGGAGUUCAUAUUGAAGUUUAUCGGCGCCACCGAAUUCACAUCCGUCGCUUGUUCCAACUCCCGCACCGAAACCAUCCACAUUGGUACCAUAUGAAGCAGAGAAAACAUCACCGGAACUGGAACACGGACUGGUCGAGGCGACCAUUCUCCUCUUCAAGAUCUCUCUCCUUGCCAUAUCAUGCCAUGUUUUGGUGAGGUCGGCCAUGUCAUUGCGAUUCAUUGACAUGGUCUUGUUCUCCUCGGCGAGCAACAAUGACAUCGAUUUGGUUUCAGAGGCGCGUGCUUUUCUCUCCUCAAUGGCAGCUUUGCGGAGCCCCUCUUCCUUGAGCAUUUGCCAUUUUUCUUGCUUCUCUUUUGCCUUCUUCUCGGCUAACUCUUUCUUGAUCUCCAACGACUUCAACAACAUCAACUCGUUUGAUUGCACCAUGGCAUCAAUCUUCUCCCUCAAGCUCGCUGCUUCUUGCUCUCUCUUCAUCUUCUCUUUAGUCUUCUUGUCGUCAUCAGACUUGUGCAAAUUUCUUGGGCCAUCAUCAUCCUCAUCUUCAUCCAUGUUUAUAAGUGAGCCUCUCUUUGGUGGGGAUUCUCUAUCGUCAACUUCCACUUGUCGCACUUUUGGAGCAACUCCCAGCAAUGCUCUAAUUUAAAGAAUUUGCCUUCCAAAGCUUCCAUGUCCUUGUAUCUAUGUUGAGCAAUCUUGUCCUACAAAAUAUGAACAAAGUGAUGCAAUCAUUUCCCAUGAUACAUUAUGAUGAUGCACAAAUUGAACAAAGGAAAAAAACAAACUCACAUAGUCGGACACCACGGUGCCACUUGGAGGUGCAUUGCGUACUUGCUCCAAGCAAGCUGCCCAACGGCUGCACAUAGGUUUGAUAUUCUCCCAACGCCCUUGAAGUGACCGAAAUGUGUGUGCAGUCCAAUUAGGAUACUUUUUCGUAAUGCGGAAGUAUUGAUCUUCGAUCCUUUGUCAAUAUCUCUUCGCGGUUUGAGAAACACCUGUGCAUGCAUCAAAAGACACCGCACUCCAUGCUUGGAUCAAAGCUUGAUUUUCCAAGAUCGUGUAGUUCUUCGAUCUUUGGCUUUUCCCGCCCUUUGCUUGCGAUUGCUCAAACGCUUCCGCUUCGAUCUCCUCCAAUUCGUCCGCAGUACCAUGAUCAUCCACGCCGCCGUCCAUUUCAUUGUAGUUGAAUGGUUUGAAAGACACUUGAUCAAUGUCAACCGCGUUAUAGUCCAACAUGUUCAUGAACUCGGUUGUUGCAUUGUUCGAACCACUGAUGCUCCAUUUUGCAUCAUGCUUUCAUGUUGAUAUUUAUCGCUUUACGAACUGUUAUAUUACUUUGUGCUACCAUACUUAUGCCUUUUCUCUUUUAUUUUGCAAGGUUUAUUUGAAGAGGGAGAAUACCGGCAGCUGGAAUUCUGGACUGGAAAAGGAGCAAGUCUGAGUCCUCUAUUCUACGUAACUCCAAAUACCCUGAAAAUCAACGUGGAAUUUUUUGGGAAUAUAUAAAAAAUACUGGGCGAAAGAAGUGCCAGAGGGGAGCUACCAGGAGCCCACAAGCCUGGUAGCCGCCACCUACCACCCUGGCGGCGGCUACAGGGCUUGUGGGCACCCUGGCGGCCCACUAGCCCCCCUCUUUUUCUAUAUGAAGGGUUUCGUCCGAGAAAAAUAUGAAGGUGGAGCUUUUUCAUGGAUUAUCCGCUGCCACGAGGCGGAACUUGAGCAGAAGCAAUCUAGAGCUCCGGCAGGACGAUCCUGCCGGGAAAACUUCCCUCCCGGAGGGGGAAAUCGUCGUCAUCGUCAUCACCAACACUCCUCUCGUCGGAGGGGAGUCAUCUCCAUCAACAUCUUCAUCAGCACCAUCUCCUCUCCAAACCCUAGUUCAUCUCUUGUAACCAAUCUCCGUCUCGCGACUCCGAUUGGUACUUGUAAGGUUGCUAGUAGUAUUGAUUACUCUUUGUAGUUGAUGCUAGUUGGAUUACUUGGUGGAAGAGUUUAUGUUCAGAUCCUUGAUGCUACUCAUUACACCUCUGAUCAUGAUUAUGAUUAUGCUUUGUGAGUAGUUACUUUUGUUCCUGAGGACAUGGGAUAAGUCAUGCUGAUAAUAGUCAUGUGAAUUUGGUUUCGGUCGGUAUUUUGAUAUGUUGUAUGUUGUAUUUUCCUCUAGUGGUGUUAUGUGAACGUCGACUACAUAACACUUCACCAUCUUUGGGCCUAGAGGAAGGCAUUGGGGAGUAUUAAGUAGAUGAUGGGUUGCUAGAGUGACAGAAGCUUAAACCCCAGUCUAUGCGUUGCUUCGUAAGGGGCUGAUUUGGAUCCACUAGUUUAAUGCUAUGGUUAGACGUUGUCUUAAUUCUUCUUUCGUAGUUGCAGAUGCUUGCGAGAGGGGUUAAUCAUAAGUGGGAUGCUUGUCCAAGUAAGGGCAGUACCCAAGCGCCGGUCCACCCACAUAUCAAACUAUCAAAAUAACGAAUGCGAAUCACAUGAACAUGAUGAAACUAGCAUGACAGAAAUUUCCGUGUGUCCUCGGAAACAUUUUUCCUCCUAUAAGACUUUGUUCAGGCUUGUCCCUUGCUACAAAAAGGAUUGGGCCACUUUGCUGCACCGUUGCUACUCUUGUUACUUGUUACUUUUCACUUGCUACGUUUCACCUCACUACACCAUCACUUGUUACCGCUACUUUCAGCGCUUGCAGUUAUUACCUUGCUGAAAACCGUUUAUCAGAGCCUUUCGCUCCUCGUUGGGUUCGACACUCUUACUUAUCGAAAGGACUACGAUUGGUCCCAUAUAUUUGUGGGUCAUCAACCACCGCUAUAGCGAACGAUAACAAGUCACGAGCUAUCAAGACUAAUGACGAAAAAUGAACAGGAAUCGCCAAGACCAAAGAGGCAUACCUUCCGGCCAUUUCGUCGAACACCUCGGCCGCGGGGGGAGCGGAAUCGUUCAACGGCUUCGCCGGAGCAGCUCCUUGCGGAGGGAUGAAGUCAGAGGUUGAAUAAGGUGGCUUCAUUAAAGCCGGAACCUUCCUCCGCUUUACGGACGCGACCUUGCCGGCCUUCUGCGCCGCCGGCCGGGAUCGCACUGCGGCGUUGACGCCCGGAGCGCGGGCCGUCGCGGCGGGGGCAACCGGAUUCCCGCCCUGCACGACCACGGUGCCCUGCCUCUUUCGGGAAGGCGCGGCGUGUGCUUGGGCGACGGCGACGGGGGCAACAUGGCCGAGGAACGGCCGGGGAGGAGGAACGUGAGCUUGCGGAGGGGGGGCAAUGAUGGCGGAGGGUGCGGGGAGCGGGGAAAGGGCACGCGGAAAUGUCCCUCCCACCAAAUCUCGCGCCGGAUAAGGGUUCAGCUUGGGUCGGCCUCCCAAUCCGUGAAGAUGGAGGUUGGGGAACAAGAUUUGCCACGUCCCGCAAAAAAUAAUGCGGAUUGGCGCGGGAUGCGGGGUCUGAUCGUGUGGAUUUUCCGGCUCCAACCCGCAAUUUGACGGUUAUUUUACGGAUCGGAGCGGAAUCCGUGGUCUCCUAGAGUUGCUCUUAGCAUUAAUCUUGACAACGGCCUCAUGCGACGGGCUAGACGAGUCAUGACCGUACGUGAUUGCCGGUCGGCCAUUGUGCAGGUACAUGCGGCGGUUCAUGCAUGGUUGUUGGUUGGUGGCUCGGUCAAGUCCGAGUUUCCAGCGGAAGAUAAGGUCAGUGAGCAGUGCGUGCGUGCGUGGUGGCCUCGUAGCUGGUUAGGUGUGCGUUUGAGCGCGUCGUGCGCCCGGCAUGCUAGUGGCGCCGAGUAUUGUGGCUGGGAAAACCAGACAUACAGAUUGGUCCACGAACAUUUAAGGGUCACCAAAGGAUGGCCCUUACUCAUCAAAUUGGCAGUUGGCGGUUUCAAAGGUCAAUAAUGUUUUUCUUAGAGACUCAAAGCCGAGUCGGUUUGCACUAAUUGUCAGUAUAGAUUUAAAAUCCCAAUAAGUUUGCAUGCUCUUCCAAUCAUUUUCUCAAAACACAAAAAAAUUAAAAUCUAAGUGGAAAAGAACCACAUGGAUUUAGCAAAUAUGCCUACUAGUGAACAUCUUGACCUCACCAAGGAGGACAAAUCGGUUUAUCAAAAACUUUAUCGAUCAUUAAUAUGUUCAUUCCUAUAUCUAUGUGCCUCUCGUCCCGAUAUCAUUCUUAGUGUGUGCAUGUGUUCCCGAUGUCAGGUGGCACCUAAAGAGUGUCAUCUUAAGGCUGUGAAAAGAAUUGUGAGAUACUUAAUACAUACACCAAACUUUGGCAUUUGGUAUCCCAGGAGAUCUUCUUUAUCUUAUGGAUUAUUCCGACUCGGACUAUGCUCGAGAUAAGGUUAAUAGAAAAUCCACCUCGGGUGCUUGUUAAUUUCUUGGGAGAUCUCUUGUAUCUUGGUCAUCCAAGAAACAAAACUCAUUAUUUCUAUCUACCGCCGAAGCGGAAUACAUUGCCGUCGGAUCAUGUUAUGCGCAAUUGCUAUGGAUGACUCAAACUAUUAAAGACCAUGGAAUACAUGUGAGACAUGUUCCAUUGCUUUGUGACAAUGAGAGUGCUAUUAAUAUUUCUCAUAAUCCCAUGCAACAGUUUUGAACUAAAAAUAUACAAGUUCAUCAUCAUUUCAUUCUUGGUCAUGUUGCCAAAGGGGAAAUUAAUCUCAAACAUAUUUGUACUAAAACAAUUGGCGGAUAUCUUUACUAAGCCACAUGAUGAGAAAGUAUUUUGUCACUUGAGGAGUGAUUUGAACAUCAUUGAUGCUUUAAACUUGAGCUAGACUCACUCGGAUGCAUGCAAGGGCAUGAGCUUAUUCUUACCAUUCCAUGACACCAUUGAUAUGACAUUAUCAUAUGCCUUAGAAAUCACAAGCAAUCCUGUUAUGACCAAGAAUUAACAACCCUAUUUCAAGAUGGAGGAAGAAGACAACAGAAACUAUAUCCUUGACAAACAUUUGAAGAAAACCUCACUCUUGUCAUUUGGAUGUAUCACGUUCUUCCUUGCAUGACUAACCCGUGUAGGUGAGAAAAAACGAAAACAAACAAGGAUUGCUCCCAACUCAAGAUGAUCUUCAUCAACCUUGAGCAUCCACAAUAAGUUCACCUACAUGCCAAGUCAUCUAUAUAUUUUGAAAUUAUAUACUCAUAUCCUUGCAGAAGCAUUACUACAACUCAUGAGUCAAAGCAAUUCUAAGUGAUAUGAAGAUAUUGAAAUGCUUAAACAAAAAAUGGCAACCCCAUUUUGAGCUUAACGAUGAGUAUGACCUAUGAUCAAGCAUUCUUGCUUGGCUCCUUAAAUUAAUAUACUUUAAUAUAGGUGACCUAGUCACCACCCAACAUCUAGAUAUGAGACUUGAAUGGAUAAUUUCUCUUGUGUUUUGCACUUAAUUGCUUCCGUUCAAUUCUAACCUAGGUGAAUAUUCCUUGCAAAUCAUUUGAAAAGACCUUGCAAUUCUUUAAAACAUUAUUUGCAAAGCUUCUGGAAAAAGGAAAAAUUCUGACAAAUUUGGUCAAAUCUCUCUGAAAAGUUUCUUUCGACAACAUGACCAAGAAUGUUUUUACCAAGUUUUACUUUGCAACUGGAUCCUCCGAAUCAGGGAAAUCGGUUUCACCGAUGAAGCAAAUAAACUGCUCAAAGCCUCUUCGGUACUGCCGACAUGGAACACUUCGGCUAUAAGGAUUUAACCCUCAUCUCCAAGAUCAUUAUUGGUUUUACCGAUCAAUUUUGCCUCGGAGUCUCCGACUUUUGUUACUACUUGAGUUCUUUGGGAUAUUCUUGACAUUUUUUAGACAAAGUUCUUUGUGACCCUUACUCUCAAGGAUCCCUUACCCUCUGAUCAUCCUUGGAAAUUAAUGAGAAAGGGGCAGAAAGAUCAAAGCCUCAAUUCAAAGCUUCAGGGGAGAAUCUCAAAGCUCAAAGCUAAUCAUUAAGGGGGAGAGAUCAACGCAUUUCAGUAUUCUUAAAAGGAGAGAGAUAAAAGAUUAAGUAAUCUGGAUUCAUGUUUUUUUGCAUUGCGAUAUCCUUCUUGCUAGAGUUGUCUCACCCUACCUACUCCCAAUAUCUACAUGCUAAGAUUGAGGGGGGAGAGGAGAAACUAAAAUCUACCUUCAUGGGAGAAAGCUAUAAAAUCACUUUUGGGUACAUGUUUACUUUGAGAGAAUACUAUCUUCUACAUGUCUUCCAAACCUUGGUGAAAUUAAAGUUCCUUGCAUCUUAAUGAAGGAAAUAUUCUUGUGUUAUCUAACCUUAUUUUCUCAAGUAUGUUUCCUUAGUAGAAAUGCUCCAUAACUUCAAGGUAAGUAUAUGCAUCAUACCCUUGGUCGGGACAACCUCUUGCUUCUUGCACAUAUUGUUUUGCAAGAAUGAGUCAUGAACAUGGAAAUUUUUCAUUCUCAUUUAUCUGAUGCAUAUGGCCAAGGAACAUCUGACAUGUCAUGUCUUCUCUACUAUGUGUGUGGACUCAUACAUUAAAAUCAAUUAUUCCUUAAAAUGGAUUGCACACAUUCAAGGGGACUUUGUCUUAGUCAUAUGUUUCUAAAAGCUCUCAUAUUCCACUUCUUACUUUAAAUUGAAGCUUUGAUUGUAUGUUUUCAUUAAUUACCAAAAAGGGGGAGAUUCAAAGCACAUAUGCCCCCCCCUUCAAGGUUUUGAUACUUCUUGACAACAUACAUUGUCUCUUGGACAAAUGGUUUUACCUAGUGUUUAAGAUUAAGUCCAAAAAGAUUGUUGUGGCUGGGCAUGUGAGGAGAACCCCAAGGAAGAAUAGGAAUAGGAUUGGCUAAGACUCAAGUCUCAAGACCUUACAUUUUGCAUUUUUGUGAGAAAUCACACUUCAACCCAUAUAUACGAAAGCCAAUAUUAUUAAACGGGGAUAAGGUAUCUAUGAUGAUGUGGUUGCUCAAGUUCUUAGAGAUUAGUCACCAAAAACCAUCAUGAAUUCUCCCACGAUAUAUGUCAAAAUCCCAAAAGACAAAUUCAGUGCCACCAACUUUCCACAUUCGGUCAUACUGAGUUUUCCUUAGAUAGAUCCUAGAGCCAAACCCUAGCACCUCGGUACUACCAAGUCCAAUCUUGGUAAAGCCGAAAUCCAGUGACCAACUCUCUGGUAACCAUUUGUUAAAAAUCAAAAUUUCUAAGUUUUUACAAAUCGGUGCCGCCGAGUCAAUGAAACUGCCUAUGCCAACCGAAUUGGUCUCACCGAGAUGCUUUGUAUUGGUCUCACCGAAAAGCCAAAAACUAUAGCCUUUUGCACUAGUCGAUGUAACCGAUUUUUUACUUCAGCUCCACCGAGUUAGGUAAUAACAUUGUAACGGUUGGAUUUUUGGAGAUGCAUAUAUAUACCCCUUCACCUCCCUCUCAUUCAUAGAGAGAGCACUCCGAACAAGACAACACUUUCCCCAUUCAUUAUUUUAAAGAGAACCACCUACUCAUGUGUUGGGAUCAUGAUCUUCCGCUCCAACCAUAUAAAUCUUGAUUUCUAGCCUCCCCAGGUUGCUUUCCAUCCAAUCAAUCUCUUCUACCAAGCCAAAUAUGUGAGCGAGUGAUUGAGUGUCGAGGAGACUAUCUUUUGAAGCACAAGAGCAAGGAGUUAAUCAUCCAUACCACAUCUAUUACCUUUUGGAAAGUGGUGUCUCCUAGAUUGGUUAGGUGUUGCUUAGGAGCCUCCAAUUCAUGUGGAGUUGAACCAAAAAUAUUGUAAGGGAAAGAAGAUCGCAUACUUAAUGAAGAUGUAUCCCUUGUGAGGCUAGUCCUUUGUGGACGUAAGCCAUGGUAGAAUAGACAAGGUUGCUUCUUCGUGGACCCUUCGUGGGUGGAGCCCUUCGGGGACUCGUGCAGUCAUUACCCUCCGUGGGUUGAAUUCUUCAUCAACGGGGACGUACGAUAGUACCACCUAUCGGAACCACGGGAAAAAUCUUUGAGUCCCUAUUGCGUUUGAUCUUCCUAUCUAUAUUAUUACUUACAUGUGUGUGUCUUUAUUUUCUUCUACUGUACUCGUAGGUUUGCAUGUGUAGGAUGUGCUAGACUUGCUAGAACUUGCCAACCAAUAGAAUUGGGGAAAGGUUAGGUUUUUAUUUGCUCAAGUAGUCUAUUCAUCCCUUCCUCCUCUAGACACCUCUUCUCGAUCCCACGAUACAAUCAUGUCAACAAUGGUCACACCAUAGUCAAGAUGAAGGUGCACGCAUGAGUUCAGGCUCUCGCUCCUCUGAUUACUCUACAUACCAAGAAAAAAGGCACAUGACAAAUAUGAUGCAGCCCAAAGCUUCUUCUUACUGUACAUCCUAUGGAGCCAUAUUUUUGGUUUCUUCCUCUGCCAUUUACGCACAAAAGCUGCCAUGUCUCCUAAGAAAUUGUAUAAGUAGUGGCGUAGUACAGUAGUGACCUGGAUUCCUUCAACGACUUGUGGUAUUGGUGUUUGUGCAUAUUAUUUUCAAUAUACCAUUAAUAUAGACGAUGCCACGUGUCACGGAGCACCUUCCUAAUAGCCCCUAUCAUCGCUACAUCUCCGUCAGCAAUUACGAACCGGGGCUUCUUCUGACAGUGAGUUUUCUAAAACGUCUCAAGCAACCAAACAUAUGUACCUUUAGUCUCAUCUCAAACAAUGGUGCAUGCAAAUACCAUAGUGCAACGAUGAUUGUUGAUACCGGCGAAUUGGAUAAACAGCAUUCCAUACCUAUUUAUCUUGUACGUACUAUCAAAAAUAGUGACAUCACCAUAGCCAAGAUAAUCAUGAUGUGAUUGCGAAUCACCCCAGAACAAGUUGUUCAGCCUGCCUUCAGCGUCAACAGUGUGGUCAAAGAAAAAAUCUGGAUCCCCCUAUCAUUUCUAGUCACCAUGAUUCCUAUAGCAGUGUCAGCAUCAUCCUAUGCAAGUAGUUUCAUCUUCUCAGUGUAGCACAUAUUAUACAUCUUCCUGCUUUUAAACCAUGUCUUACCGUAUGGCCCAUACCUGCUGACGAAGUAAUAAAAAAUAAUGUGUUUAUCCCAACUGCUACCAUUGCUGAUAUCUCUGCUCUCUUAAAUUCUUUGAUCACAUUGUGAAACCAGAGAAAAUGGACUUCGUCUAGUCUUGCAAGAACAUGGUUGUGAUUAUCAAAGAAACUAUUGACAUACCAAUGUUCAUGCUUUUUAUCAAGCUUCAUUCUUAAAUGGGCUUCACAGUAGCAUCGGCUCUCCGAUCUAAGUUUGCGGGUCUGGCCUUCCAUGUUACAAAAUUUGGCAUGCCGUUUUCCUACCCUCGAACACAGAUACCUUCUCAAGCGCAAACUUCCCGUAGGACCUUUUCCAUAUUUCUUCAAGUCCCUCUUGAUGUUGAACCCACGUUCUUUCGCGUACUAGUUGUGGAAUAUGUACGCCUUCCCUUCUGACCUGAACGUCAUGGCCAUCACUUGUCAAUGCCUAUCCAAUGAUUCUUGUUGAUAUUCAUCAUAGCCGAUUUCAAGGUCAAACUCAAGAUCGUCGUCGUGCUCAUCGUUCCCGCUGGGACCAUCAACACCCUCCAGCAAAAUAAAACAUAUAACCAUGUUCAUCAGUCUUUUUUAUGUUGUUAGUUUCCAUGAAUAAUUUGAAAAAAAAAGAAGUGUUUGAAAAACUUGCUUGCCUCACGCUUCCUUCAUAAGAUGCAUCGACGUCGCACUCAUCACUGUCAUCAUCUAAAGUUCUCGGUUCACUGCCACCAUCACCAUUUAUCUGUGCAGAUUUAUAGUAAAAUAUGUAAGUGGUAAUGUAAUUUUCAUGCCAAUCAUUGUCCAAAAAAAAUUAAACGUUGUUAGGUCGCACUUUCAGCAUAAGAAUGUUCAUCUAUAUCGUAAUUAUCAUUGUCAUCAUUGGCAUGUACCUGUAUAAAUUCGAUAAGACGUGUAAGUGUCAAUACACUAGUUUGUAUUCGGUGCUUUGUGGUCAACGUUCAUGACACAUACAGUACCACUAUAUGAUUCAUCCUGAUUCAUAUAGUUGUCUUCGGGCAGUUCGUUUGCAUUCGAUGAUGAGGAUCCAUCCUCACCACAAGAGUCAUCACUGGCAUAUUCGGUUUCUCCCUCCAUCAAUACACCUUAAAAAAGUGUAAGAUCAAUGCCAACAUCCCACAACAUCAUAGCGGAUAUAGUGAGUUCAUCAACAAGCGCAUGGCUAGGGGUCAUUCAUAAUGAAAUGCUUAACUAAUUUUAAUGUAGAAAAAAUGUACGCGCAUUUUUAUGUUAAGAGCAAUUUAUUUUUAUAUAGAAAUAUUAAUGAAAAAAAGGAAAAAAAACAUAUUGUCCGUCGUCGACGAGUCAUCGCCAGGGUUUGAUUUCGAUGCGUCGGUGGCUACCGCGUUGUCCAUGGCGCGUCGGAGGAUAGAAACGUCGACACGGUAGAACUGGGCGAGCAGGGUGCCAGUAGUCAUGGCGGGCAAGGCGUCGACGCGUUGUUGAGGGCCGAUGUCGUGACGGUGGUGGGACGCGUGUUCGGGUUGAGACAACAGCGCGACCAGUGUUGGUGUUGAUGGUCACGGCGUGCAAGACGUCGAUGCAUUGGUGAGGGUCGACGUCGUGACGGUAGGCGGAGACGACGACACGACUUGAUUCAUCCCUUGGAGUCACGACGGUAACUGGAGAGGCUAGGGUUAGUUCAGCGGGGGUGACAUGUUGUUGUUUUUUUAACCGACCAUCAACGCGUCAAUCGUGUAUGUGGGCGGACGUAAGUGGGAGGGCCGUAGAUGGCCAGGCGGACAUACGACGGGAGGCGGGUAAGCUUUACACUUGGUGUAAAGAUAAUAUUGUCCUUAUUAAGGACAGUAAAACUGCACCUAAUCCCUGCCCUCUCACGCAUUUAGGAUUUUUUGUCGUCCAUUUUCUGAUCUGAGCCUUUUCUGGUCGUUGGAUCUUCUCUCCAUUAACUACUGGGCCAACUGUCCUAUGGGCUGCUGCUCCGGUGGCUGAAACUGAGCAUUGUGGUAAACUGGGCCUGUUAUGCAGCUCAACAGAGUUCCUCCCCGCGAGUCUACACCACCCCACUCGGUCGGUAACCCUCUUCCAGAAACAGAUUCGCUCAAGACACAGGUCCUGCGCUGCCGCCGGCACUUUCUCUCGCAGUCCUUCGCGACGUUGGCCCCGACUAGCCCUAUCCAUAACGACAUCUCGGUCUCCGCCCAGACGCCGAUGUCCACUUUCUCCUUUAUUUCCCCCGAAGUUGCAGCAGGGAGGUGCUCAGCCUCUAAGCCUCACGGCGGCAAUGAGAUCCACUCUCAGACCGGCGUAUUCACGACAGCGAGGGGUGAUCAGUAGCGACGACCUACGAUUGUCCCUGCAAGCACAACUCGGCAAGGGAAAACAAGGCGUACUUCCACAUGGCUUUCGCCUGUACAUAUUUCUUCCUUUUCUUGGAAGUAGUUGUUCUAUGCACGAGAGACUUUCUGCUCGAGGCAUUAAUGUGCAGUCCACUACAGCCCAGCUGCAAGGUCACAUGGAGGAGACGGCGAGGUGGCGUUGUGGUCCAACAGCCAGGCAGUCGGUAGCACGGCGAUCCGGCGAUAGGCAACCCAGGCCCUCUCACGCAUUUAGGAUUUCUGGCCGUCCAUUUUCUGAUCUGAGCCUUUUCUGGUCGUUGGAUCUUCUCUCCAUUAACUACUGGGCCAACUGUCCUAUGGGCUGCUGCUCCGGUGGCUGAAACUGAGCAUUGUGGUAAACUGGGCCUGUUAUGCAGCCCAACACAGUUCCUCCCCGUGAGUCUACACCACCCCACUCGGUCGGUAACCCUCUUCCAGAAACAGAUUCGCUCGAGACACAGGUCCUGCGCCGCCGCCGGCACUUUCUCUCGCAGUCCUUCACGGCGUUGACCCCGACUAGCCCUAUCCAUAAUGACAUCUCGGUCUCCGCCCAGACGCCGAUGUCCACUUUCUCCUUUAUUUCCCCUAAAGUUGCAGCAGGGAGGUGCUCAGCCUCUAAGCCUCAUUGCGGCGAUGAGAUCCACUCUCAGACCGGCGUAUUCACGACAGCAAGGGGUGAUCAGUAGUGAUGACCUAUGAUUGUCCCUACAAGCACAACUCGGCAAGGGCAAACAAGGCGUACUUCCACAUGGCUUUCGCCGGUACAUAUUUCUUUCUUUUCUUGGAAAUAGUUGUUCUAUGCACGAGAGACUUUCUGCUCGAGGCAUUAAUGCGCAGUCCACUGCAGCCCAGCUGCAAGGUCACAUGAAGGAGACGGCGAGGUGGCGUUGUGGUCCAGCAGCCAGGCAGACGGUAGCACGGCGAUGCGGCGAUAGGCAACCCAGGCAACGAGCACAACUGGCCGCACAGGCGCUGUAAACAAGUAAUUAUUUACCAAUCAUAAUUGUUUAAUUGUUCUUCACGACUUGGCAUCAUAUUAUAUUCACAAUAGUAUUUUUUAUAGACUAUAGAAAUCCGAAACUCAUAGUUACCCCGACUGAAUGCAAUUUGGUAACAUGAAUUAUUAAGUCAAUUGUUGUUUGCAAGUUUACACAUUGUAACUUAGAUACUACAUACCUGGCUAUGGGCAAGGCCCGUUAGCGAAUAAUUUAUUUGGUUUAGCAAGUGAAUAAUUAAGAUGAUUUUUCAAAAUACUGAGUACAGUAGUAACUAAUGUCUAUCAAAAUAUAAUUAAGAAAAAUGUGCUCUUCUUUACGUUGGCCCGUCCAACCAUUUCUAUGUAGCUCCGCUACUGGUCAUAGCAGUGGUUGGCUUACAAGUUACAUGGUGUUGUUCUCCUGUCUUUAAUGAUAUACAAGUUCAUCGUUCUUUAUUCUUUUAUUAAGAGUGUUUUUUCAGACUAAUAAGCUCCCUUUAAAUAAACUGGUUGCGCAGCAUAAUUGAUUUUCCAAAUCCAAACAUGCAUAUCUUUAAAUGGAUUUCGAAAGCCGAUGUUGUGCCAAAAUUUCUAAAAGCUAGCUUCUCUGUCAAAAAAAUGUUGAGCAUCUGAACAAGCUCGAUCUUUAAUAGGUAAGUAUGUGUUGGAUUGUCGGUGCAUAUUAUUGCAAUCCAUACUUUACUUGACCCUAUCUAUGAACCUUAUAUAAUUUGACUAGCACACACUGUAUCUGUACCUCAUACCUUAAACUCAAUGUAUUAUAUAUCCAUUAAAGAAAUCAUCUCACAAAUUUGUACCAUCUAUAGAGCUCAAAGUACAAGAUGAACUAUAACAGAUGGUGUGCACAACCCGAACGUUGGUGCUGCUACAUAACAGAGGUGAUUCAAUUAUAGAGUGCAGGUGGACACGUUCCUUUCCACGGAUCUUACCACUGUAUGCUCUUAUAUUUCAUUUAUUUUUUGCAUGUAAACUUAAAAGCAGAUGACUCAUUCCGAACUAAAAGGAUUUAGGGCCUCAAACAUCAAUUAGUUUGUUAUGAAAAUCUACAAAUUGGUCUCAUUUCCAUGCAGUUUCUUCAGAUUCGGUUUAUUCUUUUUCGAGAUCACCAACCAUGACCAGGUAUGUUCAUAUACGAGUUGUGAGCAGUUUAACACACGUAGAACGUUAUCUCAUAUCAUUCGUGUGACAAGAAGCUUAUCAGAUUGUACAAAUACACAUGUAUGAUCAGUUGUGUCCCACACACAAGUUGUUAUGUUAAAUUUGAAUAUGAUGAUUGCAAAUUUACAAUAUAUUGCUUUCAUGAUUAAUGCCCAGCAAGUGAUACAAUUAUAUAAGUCACACCAUCUGUUUUUCGUCGUAUCGUUGUUACUCCGUGACGAGUUCGAUGUGAUUACGUGUUUGACAAUGGUUUUGUAUCCUGUUGAAUGAAACAAAUGGUUUAUAGUUUGUAAGAAUAUAUUCUUUGGUUACUUAGGGGUUGAAAGUUGGUAUUGAAACUAAGUAUGGGGGCAGAUGAGUAAUAUUAUUUCAUGUUCAACAUGGUUUUUUAGUCUAUACUUUAAACCUUGCCUUGUGGUGGUGGUCUAAGUUGAAGUCAAUCUUCUAAUCCUGAAAAUUGGAAUCUCUGUCCAAUUGUGAGUGUCAUCCUUGACCUUACGAAUCCAGUUAAAAAUUGUCAUUCUUCAGUUUGUUUGUUGUAGGCUAAUUAGAGAUGUCCACUUUGAUUACUAGCAGAAGCACACAAAGCGCUUCUCUUUUGGAUUGACGACGUACGCAUAAGCAUUCUCAAUCCGGCCAACAGCCAACCUUACUAGGCAUGUGCUUCCCUUCUAACAAGUAGACCUCAAUGGUGAAUCAUUGAAUAUCAACCAACCAUAACAAAGAUGAUAAUUUUUGGCACGUACACUUGCAUCAGUCGUAACACCAAUUGCAGCUCGUCCCAGUUACUUGGUUACCUUCACCGCAAAAGUGUGUACACGCAGAGUCCAAACACUUUUUGAGAAAUUUCAGCCCAUCAUGGUUCUGUAUGUGGUUGUGUGUAAAUUCUACAGGAACAAAUCACCGACUUAGGUUGUGUUUGGUUCAGCUUUUGUUACCAACUUCUAUUUUAAAAAGCUAAAAGCUAACCAAAGGGGUAAAUGUUUAAAGCAGCUUUUGAGAACAUGUAUUUUUUUUCUAAUGUAAAUUUCAAAUCUGGGGAUAUCUUAACUUUUCAGCUUCCAGCUUCAAGCUUUUUCACAGCAGCUUUUUCAGAAUCUGUAGCUCAAUCAAACACAGCCUUAGAUCUAGAUGCCCCUAGCUGCUAUAUUUACAUGUUUGCAUAUAAUCCCUUUUUGUAAAUGAUUAUCAACCCAGUGUGCUCAAAAGUAACACCUAGAAAAACCAUCGGCUCCAUGUGCAUUUGGCAAACAACCAAGUCAACACGCAUGAGCGUGUCUACCGCCAAAAUCAUCACCACUGCUUUUACUCGCCUGCUUCGGUUCGUAACAUGAGCUUCUAUCAGUAAAUGGUGGACAUGAAGCGAAACAGUAUCUCAUGGCCUACACUGUAACUUCCUGCAGGAAAUCUCAACAGGGCAAGCUGGUAGCAACUUCUUUCCCGAAACCUCACAAUCCUACACCCAAUGAUUAAGGGGCAGACCUUGCAUAUAUAUCAUCGUGAAAACAAGCUUGGUGCCCAUGGUGAUAUAUGUUGUUUACCUUUUUUGUACCGGAAACAAGCUUCUAAUUCCUUUGGUGUCUUGGUGAUAUAUAUUUAUCUAUAGUGAAAGUUGGCCAUGUGAUUAAAUGUCAGAAGCUGACCUAUUCCCAUCAUUGAUUGCGACUAUGGCCAUGUCAUGUGGUAGGUCAGUUUGAUUUAUCCGAAGAGUUGAGUUUGUCGGCAUAUAGUCUUAUGUAUCCUAUAUCAAAAUUUAAAAGGCAUCCAUAUUAAAGAGUAAACUGUAACUUAUCUCAUGGUUGUGUCAAGCUAUAUAGGGUGACACAACUCUCCCAUAUAUCAUACUUUACUAGAAGGGUUGGACGCGCUUUGCUGCGUUGUUGAUGUUUUUGAUUUUUUUAUAAUUUUUUUACUCAAUCUAGCUAUCUUAAAAUAUAAUAUUUAUUAGUUAUUUGAAAAGUCAAACCUCUUUAAAUAUCAUCAGAUUUUUGUAGAAAUAUAUCAGUAUUCAUAAUAUCAAUCGGAUUCCUAGAUUCAUCAUGAAAUAAAUUUUUAUAUUUUAUUAUUUAGCAUUGUGGAUGUCGAUAUUUUCGCCACUGAACUUUGUCGAAGUUUUAAAAAAACGAGUUUUUAAUAAGCUAAUACACCUUUGAUUUUAGAACGGAAAGAGUAUUAGUUUUUUCGUUAGUGCGGAAAACGAUGGGGUGUCUUUUAUUUUUUAUUCAUGUAAUGUGGUGUUCUGAUGGGGUUUCGUGGUGUGAUUUUGUGAUCUUCUAAUCAACUCAUAUUUAUGCGGGAUUUUUUUACGUCGGUGGCUGCAUGUACUAUAUUGGUUCUGCAUGAGAUGGUGCCUAGGAUUGAUAAGUUUUUAUAGAUCGGUUGCUUCUAACUAAUUUGAAAAAUUGUGGACACGGGCAAAAUCAUGAAAGAAAUCCAAUAUCUAAUUUCUCAAUGAAAUAAAAGAGCUUAAUGAAUUAAAAUAAUUGAGUGAAAGAUUAUUGACCCGGUUAAAAUCGGUAAUUUCAAAUUGAUGGCCUCAAAUAAAUGAGAACCCUCCUAUUUUAGGGAGCUUAGUGAUAUGGUAUAAAGAUACACAUUAAUACAGUAUAGUGUCCCUAAAACAACUACAGUACUGUCAGACCAAGGCACCUUGGUGAAACAGCAUGACGACGCCUGACGCCAAUUGAAAAAUGAUGGACGAACGGAACUGUUGAGCAGAUCGAAGCUGCAGCGCCGGCCAGCUCCCCUCCUCACCAAACCACAGAAAAUUGUAGCUAUUCCUCGACGACCACACAAAGGGCUUCCCUUUUGGAUUGACGACGCAGGCAUAAACAUUCUCAAUCUGGCCAACAACCAACCUAAUGUCCUAAUCACACCAUCACUUCGAGCUAUAAAUUGGUACGCAUUGGCCCAUUUUCAUACAUCGCAGCAAAGCGGAAGUAAUAUCAGCCAUCUCUCACUAGUGCUACCGCAAGCUCUGUCCAUGGCUUCCAACGCGAGCAUGUUGGUCAUGAUCAUGGUGUGCGCGCUCCUCCUCGCCGGCAGCACGUGCCACGCCGCCCGCAACCUGGCUGACACGACGCCGGUGGCUUCCGCCCCGGCUGCUAGCGCCGUCCCUGGCUUGCCGGCCGUGCCGACCUUGCCUGCCGCACCCACGGACACGGUCACCCUGAUGCCACCCAUGUCGUCGGUCACCCUGCCCACCGUGCCGCAGGUGACGCUGCCGCCCAUGCCUGCCAUCGUCGUGCCCAAGGCGGUGUUGCCGCCCAUGCCCAAGGUCACCCUCCCCACGGUGCCACAGGUGACGAUGGCGCCGAUGCCCGCCAUUGUCGUGCCCAAGGUGACCCUGCCGCCGUUGCCCUUCGUCCCGAGUGUGAAUGUGCCCAUGCCGUUCGCGGCCCCGGCCCCGUCAGCGUAGGCGCGCCCACGCGGCGGUGCUCUCGCCAUGUCCAGGACACGACGCACAUUUUCUUUCAUGCAAGCUCGGUGUUUCAUAUGCGACGUAUCAGCAAUUCUUGCCUUUUUUUAAGACUCCGUAGUAUAUGUACUGGUAGUGCUUGACUAUUGAGGGUUUUGUCGCACUGUAUGUAUUUCUUGAUCUUCUUAUAAAUACACAUUACUAUUUACGGUAUGCUAUCUUUAUCUUUUAUAUAACUCUAAAGAGUGAUAGUAAACUUGUCUCUUUCCUCUCAGCUUUUCCAAAACAGAAGAGAGGUUAUUUAGCUCUUUUUGAGCCUGCAACUAGGAGUUUGUUUAUGGAAAUUGAUUAGAAUCAGCCGGCUGAUUACAGCGCGGCGUAAACCUCCUCGGACGCGUGACACGUGUCCCGAUGGGGACCGGCACACCGCUUUUUCACCCGUUCUUAUCCACACGCGGGGCGUCUCAUCCACUCGUCAUUGACCGAGCAGCUCUCGGGUGGCCCAAAGCUCGGUGUUGCAAGGAAGCUUUUCACCGGAUGCUUCACCGGUGGCGGCCGGAGCACCCCGUCGUUUGUGGUAGACGCAUGCACACGAUGGUGAUACGGUGGAGCGGUCGUCGGCAGCUCCUGGUGCUGCGAUGUAGCGCUUGCGCGACAAUCUAGAGAGCUCGAUUAUGCAACGAUGCGUUACCGGCUGCGUCAAGAGCUGCGAUACAGCGUCCGUAGCUACAAUGAAGCUUCACCGGUGCUACAAUGAAGCUUCGCCGGACGUCAUCGAUGCUGCGUUGGAGCUUCGUCGGCCAACGCCGGUGCGGCAUGAAAGCUGCGAUGGAGCUUCGUCAGACGCGUCGGUGCUGCGUUAGAGCUUCGCUGGUGUUGUAUUGGAGCUUCGUCGGAUCCGGCGGUGCCGCAUUGAAGCUAAACUCGUGUUGCAUUGCAGCUACGUCGGGGCCAUCGGAGUUGCAUUGGAGCGUCAACCGUGCUAUAUUGGAGCUUCGCCCAGGCAACCGAAGCAUCGUCGGUGCUCUAAUGGAGCAUGCCAUCGUUGUAUCUCUUGCCAUGCUGCCGGGAACGGGGAUGCUAGAGACGCUGCGGGAUAAAAUAUCAGCAUGUUGGGAUGGAAGCGAAGACAUGUUCCAUGCGCGGUCAUGUCAUCAGGGAUCGAACGGAUCAAAUUGCGUUCUACGUGAGAAAAUCAACGGUAGGCUAGGCGGCUGAUCUUUCGUUAAGAUCAGCCGGUUGAUUUGUAGCACCGCCCUUUGUUUAUUUAUUACCCUGCACCAAAAGAAAUAGCGGAUUACAAAAAAAUAAUUAAGAAAUGCAAUUGCACCACAAAUAAGUGCAACUAUAUAUAGACAAUAAAAAACUGCAAGUUGUACAAUGUAGUGCAAUUACAACCAAAAACAAAAUAACACAAAAUAGUGCAAAUUGCUAAGCGAGUGUAAUUGCAAAAAAAUGCAAUUGCACAAAAUAAAAGUACAAAUACAUAAAAUGUGUAGUUGCACAAAAAUAUAAAUAAGAUUGCACCAUACAAAAGUGUAACUGCACAAAGAAUAAUAUGAACAAAUUAUUUUAAUUGCACAUAAAAUUUAGAGUUGCACUAAAAAACUGUAAAUGCAUAAUUUAUUUCCAUACCAAGAAGAGAAAAACAACGACAAAAGAAAGAAAAAUAUAAGUACAAAAAUAAAUAAAUAAAACCCAUUUGAAAACAAAAAUAAACACAAACAUAUUUUUCUUUUUUGUAGGAAAACAAACAUUCUUUUCUAGUACUUCCUUUGUUCCAAUUAGUUGACGUUUUCCGUUUGUCCUAAGUCAAACUUCUAAAUUUUCACCAAUUAUAAAGAAAAAUAUGCUAAUAUUUAGAAACAUAUUUCGUGAAAAAUCCAAUGAAACUAAUUCAAUGUUGUAGAUUUUAAUUUAUUUUUACUUAAACUUAGUGAAAUUAAAAAAUGACUAAAUAUAAAAAUAAAUACUUGAAACAAGUUGCCACGAAAGUAGUAGCAUACAAUUAACAGUUUAGCUUCAUGGUAAAGGCUUAGUCACCAAAAUAGCAAAUGGCGAUUCCAUAGGCCACUAAUGUGUUUCUUAACCAAUGGGUCUGCACGAAGGGCAUUUCUAAUUUGGCACCACAAGCGUCCGUUAAUGUGCAUUUUGCUAAGAGACGCCUGAAGCGCUGGAGUCACGGGCCGGCCAAUAUUUGAUCUUGUCCGAUAUGUAAACCUGCCUCUUUUUCCAUCUCUUCUUACUUCUUCUCUCUGUCUUCUUUUCUUCCUUUUCCCUUUUUUGUUUUUUGUUUCUGUUUAUUCUUUAUUAUUUUUUUAUUAUUUCUUCAUGGUUCGAAGAUUUUGUUUCAAAUAUAUGAACUUUUUUUAUUUUUCAAUGAACUGUUUUGAAAAUCAUGAACAUUUUUACUAAAUCAAUGAACUUUUUUUCAAACACUAUGAACAUUUUUUCAAUUUCGAUGGACUUUUUCCAGGUUUGAUGGAAGUUUUAUCUUACUAUCAAUUGGAUGAACUAAUUUUGUUAUUAAAUGAAUUUUUUAAUAUUUAUGAACAUUUAUCUAAUUUGAUAAACAUUUCUAAAUUUGAUGAACAUUUUUCAAAUAUGAUGAAUUUUCCCAAAUCUGAUGAACUCUUUUCAAGAAUGAUGUAUUUUUUUCCUUCAAAAUUUUAAACUUUUUCAAAAUCAAUGUACUACUUUUCAAACUCGAUGAACCUUUUUUAUAAAAGUAGAUGAACUCUUUGCCAAAGUCAAUGAACUUUUUUCAAAAGUGAUGAACUAUUUUUCAAACUCGAUGAACUUUUUCUGUCAAAUUCGAUGAAUUUUUUGCCCAAAUCAAUGAAUUUUUUUCAAAAGCAACGAACAUUGUUCGAAAAGGUAAAUUGAUUUAAACUCGUUCAGAAUGUUUUCCAAAAUCUUUGAACUUUUUUAUGUUUUGUGAACUUCUCUUCAAAAGUGAUGAACUAUUUCUCAAAAUCGAUGAAGAUUUUUAAUUCAUGAUUUCUUAAAAAUAUGUACUCCCUCCGUUCUUAAAUAUAAGUUUUUUUAGAGGUUUCACUAGAUGACUACAUACGGAUGUAUAUAGACAUAUUUUAAAAUAAAGAUCCACUCAUUUUGCUCUGUGUGUAAUCACCUAAUAAAAUCUUUAAAAGAGUUAUAUUUAGGAACGGAGGGAGCAAGUGAUAAAUAAAUAGCACGGGCAUAUUUGUUCUAACUAUUUGGCUGAAAUAAAAUCAGAAGUGUGCAAUGGCUGUAUCGGUUAACUAAGCUCGAAUAGGAUGUGACGGUGCGAGUUCUAUUCAUGAAGGUUGCACUUUUUGCGUUUUCUAGCGAAUUUUGUUUGCUCCGCACAGACUUCAUGGGCCGGCCCAACAAUCCGCUACAGCAGGCACCAGCUACCUGUUCGGGCGCUUAAGGCGCCGAACAGGAGCUCCCUGCACGAAGGGGCAGAUUAUAGAUGUAGAGGCCUGAUAGGUAUGCAUGCAUUUAAACCUGAGAAUAGUUCAUACUUGAACCAUAGUUGAACCAUACUCGUUCAUUUAUCUUUCAAAAUCAUACUUAAUCCAUAUCCAUUUAAUGUCAUUUUUAGCUCAACCAAAACCGAACCCAUUAUUUUUUUCACCCAAACCAAUUUAAACCCAAUACAUAAUCGUGAGUUUAAACCCAGUACAUAACUAUGGGUUUAUUUUAAUGUACAUAUGAUUACAUAAAUUGACAUGUUAAGAAGCAAAUGAGAUAGAAAAUGCAUAAAUGCAUCUACAACAGUUUAAAGACAAAGUUAUCCUUGAGAUACAGUCAGCCACACAACAAGAGGCAAAAAGAACAUGUCCAUGGCUGAAAAGCUCACUAACAAGUGUAUUAAAAUCAAAUUGCUUAGCGAAAGCACAAGCAAACACUUCCGAUUUUCAUGUGGUGUUUCCCCAUAAUACAUAAUUACAUAGUGCAUUACAACAUGUACGCGGAUCAAAGAUACUCGUUCUCGGUCGUUGUUGAUUAUUGCAUAUAACCAAUGCCUAGAAACCGGUUUAGAACCAUAGUUUAAAAUCGUUAAUAACCAAACCGUUUAAACCCAUAACCAACUAUUCCCAAGCUAUUUUUUCCACAUACCCAAACCAAAACCAAUCUAAAAAAGUCUCAGCCAAAUAAAACCUAAACGAAUCAAACCCAAAGUAAGAACGGAACCGUUACACCCGGUUUUUUAAUAACCAUUCUCAGGUUUCCAUGCAUUUCCGAUUGUUUUUUCUCAAACACAAAACAAGUAAUCCUAAAUACAAAACAACCACCUGUAUUUUAGCAAAUUUGUUUCUUCAUUCCUCAUUUUUUUAAAUAAAAAAACAAAAGAGUGCAAACCCAAAGGUAGAAAAAUUGAGUGAGUUUUGUGAAAGUUGAAUAUCUCUAUGGUUUUUACAUACCCCCUUGCUUAUUCCUCCUGGGGUUUUCUCAAAAUUAUAAAGCAACUCAACUCUAAGUGCAAACCCAUUAAAAACACAAUACAACUUAAAUAUAAGUGCAAAUCUGACAACAAGAAAAUUGACUACCUUUUAAUCAAAAUCAUUCGCGUGGGUUUUAGAAAACUUUCUUGCUUAUUCCUCUCAAGUCCCGACGAAGUUGUCCAUCGAUAAUGGAUGUGACAAGGAAUAUUUUGAAACUCCAAGUCUUCCUAAAGAAAUUGAGUAGGUAAGUGUUGGUUUGUGCAUGCGUGGUUGGCUUGCUUUUGUGAUGUUUGUCGCGCCAUUGUUGAGUGUGAGUGUAGUUUACUAAAGUUUACUACUAUUUACGACAUGUGCAUAUUCAUUUUUGAGUGCCGCAUGUGAUGAUGGCGCCGAUGCGAGCCAUUGUUGUGCCCAAGGUGACGCUGCCGCCGUCAUCCCGAGUGUGAAUGUGCCCAUGCUGUUCGCGGUGGUGCCCCCGUCAGGGUAGAGGCUGAAGCGGCCACGCGCCGGUGCUUUCGACAUAUGCACGAUAGGGCGCUACUCAUGUGAGGGUGGCACCAGGUCACUCCGUGGACACGACGCACAUUUUCUUACAUGCAAGCUCGGUUCCUUAUAUGCGAAGUUCUUUUUUUGCUAGUGGACUGUUGAGGGUUUUGUCCCACUGUAUGUAUUUUCUAAAUGCACAUAACUAUUUGCAGUAUGUUAUCUUUUCUUUUAUAUAACUCUAGUGAGUGAUGAUAAAAGAAGCACAAAUUUACAAAAUAUUUUGGUCACACAAAAAAAUUAAAGUUGUACUGAAAAUAUGCAGAUGCACACUUUAUUUCCAUAGCCCGUAGAAAAAAACAACUACAAAAGAAAGAAAAAUAUAGGUUCCAAAAAUAAAUAAAUAAACCCAUUCGAAAGCAAAAAAUAAACACAAAAAUUUAUUUACUUUUUUGGUAGGGGAAACAAAUAUUCUUUACUAAUACUUCCUCAUUCCAAAUAAUUUUAUGUUCUCGGUGUGCCCUAGGUCAAUUUUUUUAAAUUUUAAACAAUUAUAUAGAAAAAUAUGCUAAUAUUUAUAAAUGUAUAUCAUGAAAAAUCUAAUUAAACUAGAACUUGAUAUAUUUCUAUAUAAUCUUAGUGAAACUAAAAAAAUGACUUGGGAUAGAAAUAAUACUUCAAACAAGUAGCAAUGGAAGUAGUAGCUAACAAAUAAUAGUGUAGCUUGAUGGUAAAGUCUUAUUUCAUCUCCCAUGCUAUAGAUCGUAAGUGCGGGUUUUGACUUGGGAUAUAUAUAACACAUCUUAAAAUGUCAAAAUUCCAAACAAUAAUUCCCGUGUACAUCCAGACAUUCUAUGUUCGUACACAAAAUUUCACAAAGAAAUAACUUUUUGGCAUGUAAAAAAGAUAAAAAAUGGCUCCUAAAUAGUUACAAUCAAGCAUGAAAAAUUGUCUUUUUUAUAUAAGCUACAAAAAAUGUCCUUUUUCACCGAAACUUUGUGCAUGAACACAGAAUGUCCAGAUGUAAAUGUGAACCUUUUCCACUGUUUUUUUAACUUUAUAAAAAUAUGUAUUAGAGAAUAGAUGAAUCUGCGCCGAUGAGCCAAAGGAAAUUUCCCCAACUAUAGACAAUAACGGAGUUGCAAGUUGCACAAAGUAGUGCAAUUACACCAGAAAAGACAUUUACACAAUAUAGUGCAAAUUGCAUAAGAGAGUGUAAUCACAAAAAAUGUAAUUGCACAAAAUAAAAGUACAAUUACACAAAAGGUGAAGUUACGCAAAAAUAUAAAUAAGAUUGAACCAUGCAAGAGUGUAACUGCACAAAGAAGCACAAAUGCACAAAAUAUUUUAAUUGCACAAAAUAAUUAGAGUUUUACCCAAAAUUUACAAAUGCACAAUUUAAUUCCAUACCCGGUAGAAAAAAAAGAAGUACAAUAGAGAGAAAACUAUAGGUUCCAAAAAAAAUUAAACCCAUUUGAAAAAAAGAAACAAAGAUUAUUUACUUUUUUGGUAGAGAAAACAAACAUUCUUUACUAGUAUUUCCUCUAUUCGAAUUAGUUGAUGUUAUCAGUUUAUCCUAAGUAACAACUUUUACAUUUUAAUCGAUUAUACAUAAAAUAUGGUAAUAUUUAAAAAUGUAUUUCAUGAAAAAUCUAAUUGAACUAAUUUGAAGUUGUAGAUUUUAAUGGAACUAAUUUAUUUGUGUUCUACUACUUCCACUCCAAUUUAUUUGAAUUAUUAUUUUUAUCCUAUGUCAUUUCUUAGAGUCACUAAGUUUACACAAAAAUAGUUCCACUAGAUUUUUUAUGGACAGGAUACGGGAGCCGGUCAUCCAAUCGUGUCCCUUGAAUAGGCAUGAAACUUGGAGAAGAGAGGUGGGCCAGACAUGCCUAAGGACAAAGCACAUGGACUAUGAGGAAAUGUGGUCCAACUACGGUGGCCCAAGCAGACCUCUGCAUGAUGUACGAACUCCCGCAAAGCACUGAUACGUCUCCAACGUAUCUAUAAUUUUUGAUUGUUUCAUGUUAUUGUAUUAUCAAUCUUGAACGAUUUAUACGCUAUUUUGUAUUAUUUUUAGGAACUAACCUAUUAACCCAAUGCCAAGUGUUAGUUAUUGCUUUCUGCGCUUUUUUGACUCUCACGGAACCAGUACCAAAUGGAGUCCAAACGCUACAAAACUUUUUGAUGAUUUUGGAUGGACCAAAAUAAGACCUGGAAGCUUUGGAGGAAGACUAGACGACACACGAGGAGACGACAAGGGAACAUAGAACGCCUAGGGGGUAGGCGCACCAUCUUGCUUUGUGGGCCCCUCAUAGCUCGUGUGACCUAAUUCCACCCUUUUAAAUUCUCAUAUGUCGGGAAACCAAUAGAAAGCCACCCUAGACAUUUUUUUUCCACCGCCGCAAGCUUCUAUUCCGACGAGAGGCCAUCUGGAGACUUUUUUUGGUGCCCGGUCGGAGGGGAAUCGAUCAUGGAGGCCAUCUACAUCAACCUUGCUGCCUCCAUGAUGUUGUCUGAGUAGUUCACCAUAAAUCUACGGGGUCCUUAGCUAGUACCUAGAUGGCUUCUCGUCUCUAUUUGAUCUUCAAUACAAAGUUCAUCGUGUUCUAUUCGAUAUAGUCUUCUUUGUUGUGUGUUUGUUGGGAUCCGAUGAAUUGUGGGUUUAUGAUUAGAUUAUUCAUGAAUAUUAAUUUAGUCUUCUCUAAAUUCUUUUGUGCAUGAGUAUUAAAUCUUUGUAUUUCUCUCCGAUCUAUCGAUUUGGUUUGGGCAACUACAUUGAUUUAUCUUCAGUGGGAGUGGUUCGUUGUGAUGGGUUCAAUCUUGUGAUGCUCAAUCCUAGUGACAGAAAGGGACAUGACACAUAUUCGUAAUGAUGUCAUUAAGGACAAAAUGAUGGGGUUUAUGCAUAUUUCUUGACUUUACUUUGUCUACAUCAUGUCAUCUUGUUCCAAACAUUACUCUGUUUCAUACUUAAUACUCUAGAUGGAUGUCGUAUAGAGGUCAAUAAGUGGAGUAAUAAUAGUAGAUGCAGGAAGGAGUCGUUCUACUUUCUUAUGGAUGUGAUGCUUAUAUCAUGAUCAUUCCCUUGAAUAAGAUGUAAUAACCAUGCGUUAUUCUGUCAGUUGCCCAAGAGUAAUUUGUUUAUCCAUCAUAUGCUAUUUUCAAGAGAGAAGCCUCUAGCGAAAACUAUGGCCCCAGGGUCUAUUCAAAUUAUAUUACAAAAACUACAAAAAAUAUUGAUGUCAUUUAUUUUCUGUUAUUUAAUUUUAUAUUUAUAUUGUCUAUCUAUCAAUGUUUAAUCCUUGCAAGUAACAAGUUCAAGGGGCUUGACAACCCUCUUGCCCGUGUUGGGUUCAAACGUUUGAUUAUGUGUGUGUAGGUGUUGGCGAUGAGGGUUUGCAUGAUUCUCCUAUUGGUUCAAUAACCUUGGUUCUUACCGAAAGAAAUACUUAUUUGUACUAUGCUGCAUCUUCUCUCCUCUUCGGAAAAAAUUCCAACACAGAUUACAAAUAGCAAGCAUUCCCUGUCCCUAAAAUUACUUCCGGUUGUGGGGGAACCAAGCAUGUGGGCUGGACCACGAAGGUUUAAGAGUCUCCAUUGCAAGGCAAAACUUGAUAAAAGUGGUCCGGACACCAUGGUCGGGACAUAUACGAAAGCUUUGAGGGUCCGAUUUGGAGAUGCCCCUUACUCACCAAAGUGGAAGUUGGCGGUUUCAAAGGCCAAUAAUGUUUUUCUUAGAGACUCAAAGCCCAAUCUGUUUGCACGAAGUUUCAGAUGUAGAAUUAUAGGCCCAAUAAGUUUGCACAUUUUUGCAGUUAUUUUUCUCAAAACACAAAAGAACGAAAAUAUAAGUGAAAAACAUCCACCUCAAUUUUGGCAAAUCCGCUUGCUCAUUCCUCAUUUUCUUUAUCAAAAACACAAAACAACUUGAAUAAAUGCAAACCCAAAGGUAGGAAAAUUGACUGAAUUUUGUGAAAGUUAAAUAUCUCUAGGGUUUUUGCAAGCCCCCUUGCUUAUUCGUCAUGGGGUUUUCUCAAAAUUAUAAAAGCAACUCAACUUUAAGUACAAAUCUACUAAAACCACAAAACAACUUAAAUAUAAAGUUCAAAUCUGACGACAGGAAAAUUAACUACCUUUUAUCCGAAAUCAUUCACGUGGGUUUUAACAAACCUUCUUAGCUUGUUCCUCCUGAUCCUGGACAAGUUAUCCUCCUCGACGAUGGAUGCGAGAACGAAUUUUCUUAACUACAAGUCUUCCUAAAGAAAACAAGUGGGCCAUGGUUGGUUUGUGCAUGACGAGUCGACCAUGGGUGUUGCUCCAUGGUAUCAUUGCUUUAUGGAGUUUAGCUUCAUUUGUAUCCAUUUUACCUGGUUUUCCGUGAUAAACUAAAAAAAUUAAUCGAUAGAACGGGUGAAAUAAUUACCUCGUGUGUGGAAAAACAAACAUAGAAAACAGAGUGAAAAACGGAGGGUUUGACCGUAUAGUCCAAGCAGGUAUGAUACGAUCGAUCAGUGACAUGCAACCAAACGAAGGGUUUGACCAUAUAGUCCAAGUCAGGUGCACUUUUGCGAGAAGUGUGACUGAGCCAGUUGAGAAAUGAUGGCACGAAUAAUCAAGACAGUUCAGCAAAUCGAAUCUGCAGCGCCGGCCAGCUCUUCAUCUAAACCCAGAAAAUCCUAGCUACCGCCUACAUACCUCGACCAUGCAGAGCGCAUCCCUUUUUGGAUUGACAACGCACGCACGCACAGACUCUCAAUCCGGCCAACAACCGACCUAAUCACACGAUCACUUUGUACUGUAUAAGUUUCCAGCCAUUGACACAUGUUCAUACAUCGCAGCAGCGCAGAAGCAAACAUCUUGCAGUCACCUGCUAGGCUGCUACACACGAGCGAGAAACCCAUCUCUCAACAGUAACUUCGCUAGUUCUAGCUAUAUGGCUUCCACCGCGAGCAUGCUGGCCGUGGUCAUGGCGUGCGCGAUCCUCCUCGCCGGCAGAACGUGCAACGCCGCCCGCAACCUGGCCGACACGACGUCCGCGGCCGCCGCUCCGGCUGCAAGCACCGUCCCUGGCCUGCCGGCCAUGCCAACCUUGCCCGGCGUGCCCACGGACACGGUGACCCUGAUGCCGCCCAUGCCGUCGGUCACCCUUCCCACCGUGCCGCAGGUGACGCUGCCGCCCAUGCCGGCCAUCGUCGUGCCCACGGCGGUCCUGCCGCCCAUGCCCAAGGUCACCCUCCCCACCGUGCCGCAGGUGACGAUGGCGCCGAUGCCCGCGAUUGUCGUGCCCAAGGUGACGCUGCCGCCGUUGCCGUUCGUCCCGAGUGUGAAUGUGCCCAUGCCGUUCGCGGCGCCGCCCCCUUCAGCGUAGAGGCUGAGGAGGCCACGCCCGGUGCUCUCGCCAUAUGAACGAUAGGGCGCUAUUCAUGUGAGGGUCGACACGACGCACAUUUUCUUACAUGCAAACUCGGUUCUUUAUAUGCGAUGUAUCAGCAACUAUUUCCAUUUUUUUAAGACUCAGCAGUAUGUACUGGUAGUGUUUGACUGUUGAGGUCUUUUUUUUGCUAGUGGACUGUUGAGGGUUUUGUCCCACUGUAUGUAUUUCUUGGUCUUCCAAAAUACACAGUACUAUUUGCGGUAUGUUAUCUUUGUCUUGUAUAUAACUCUAAUGAGUGAUGAUAAAAGAAGCACAAAUGCACAAAAUAUUCUAGUCACACAAAAAAAAUUAGAGUUGUACCCAAAAUCUGCAGAUGCACAAUUUAUUUCCAUACCCCGUAGACAAAAACAAUAACAAAAGAAAGAAAAAUAUAGGUUCCAAAAAUAAAUAAAUAAACCCAUUUGAAACCAAAAUUAAACACAAAAAAAUAUUUACUUUUUUGGUAGGGGAAACAAGCAUUCUUUACUAAUACUUCCUCAUUCCAAAUAAUUUGAUGUUCUCGGUGUGCCCUAGGUCAAUUUUUUAAUUUUUAAACAAUUAUAUAGAAAAAUAUGCUAAUAUUUAUAAAUGUAUUUCAUGUAACUAGAACUUGAUAUAUUUAUAUAUAAACUUAGUGAAACUAAAAAAAUGACAUGGGAUAGAAAUAAUACUUCAAACAAGUAGCAAUGGAAGUAGUAGCAAAGAAAUAAUAGUGUAGCUUGAUGGUAAACUCUUAUGAUAUCUCCCACACUAUAGACUGUAAGUGCGGGUUUUGACUUGGGAUAUAUAUAACACAUCUUAAAAUGUCAAAAAAUUCCAAACAAUAAUUUCCAGUGUACAUCCAGACAUUCUAUGUUCUCACACAGAAUUUCACAAAGAAAGAACAUUUUUUGGCAUGUAUAAAAAAGAUUAAAAAAUGGCUCCUAAAUAGGUAUAAUCAAGCAUAAAAAAUUGUCUUUUUUACACAAGACACAAAAUAUGUCCUCUUUCACCGAAACUUUGUGCACGAACACAUAAUGUCCAGAUGUAAACGUGAGCUUAUUUCACUAUUUUUUGAACUUUCUAAAAUAUGUAUUAGACAAUAGAUGAAUGUCCAGCGAUGAGCCAAAGGGAAUUUCCCCAACUAUAGACAAUAACAAAGUUGCAAGUUGCACAAAGUAGUGCAAUUACACCACAGAAAAGACAUUUACACAAUAUAGUGCAAAUUGCAUAAGAGAGUGUAAUUACAAAAAAAUGUAAUUGCACAAAAUAAAAGUACAGUUACACAAAAGGUGAAGUUACGCAAAAAUAUAAAUAAGAUUGAACCAUACAAGAGUGUAACUGCACAAAGAAGCACAAAUGCACAAAAUAUUCGAGUUGCACAAAAUAAUUAGAGUUGUACCAAAAAUUUGUAAAUGCAUAAUUUAUUUCCAUACCCGGUAGAAAAAAACAAGUACAAAAGAGAGAAAAAUAUAGGUUCUAAAAAUAAAUAAAUUAAAACCAUUUGAAAAGAAAAAUAAAACAAAGAUAACUGACAGUGGCCCAAUUGGACCUCUGCAUUGUGUUCAAACUCCCGCAAAACACAUACAUCUCCAACGUAUCUAUAAUUUUUGAUUGUUUCAUGUUAUUAUAUUAUCAAUCUUGGAUGAUUUAUACACUAUUUUAUAUUAUUUUUAGGAACUAACCUAUUAACCCGGUGCCAAGUGUUAGUUGUCGUUUUCUGCGUGUUUUUGAAUUUUCAGGAAACCAGUACCAAAUGGAGUCCAAACACUACGAAUUUUUUUGAUGAUUUUGGGUGGACCAAAAUAAGACCUGGAAGCUUCGGAGGAAGACUAGACGACACACGAGGAGACGGCAAGGGAACAUAGAACGCCCAGGGGGGGUAGGCGCACCCUCUUGCUUUGUGGGCCCCUCGUAGCUCGGUCUUACCUAAUUCCACCCGUAUACAUUCUCAUAUGUCAGGAAACCAAUAGAAAGCCACCCAAGACAUUUUUUCCACCGCCGCAAGCUUCUGUUCUGAUGAGAGGCCAUCUGGAGACCUUUUUCGGUGCUCUGUCGGAGGGGGAAUGGAUCACGGAGGCCAUCUACAUCAACCCUGCUGCCUCCAUGAUGUUGUGUGAGUAGUCCAUCAUAAACCUACGGGGUCCAUAGUUAGUACCUAGAUAGCUUCUCAUCUCUAUUUGAUCUUCAAUACAAAGUUCAUCGUGAUUCCCACGGUGAUCUAUUAUAUAUAGUGUUCUUUGUCGUGUGUUUGUUGGGAUCCGAUUAAUUGUGGGUUUAUGAUCAGAUUAUUCAUGAAUAUUAAUUGAGUCUUCUCUAAAUUCUUUUGUGCAUGUGUAUUAGAGCUUCGUAUUUCUCUUCGAUCUAUCGAUUUGGUUUGGGCAACUAGAUUGAUUUAUCUUGAGUGGGAGUGGUGCAUUGUGAUGGGUCCAAUCUUGUGAUGCUUAAUCCCAGUUACAGAAAGGGACAUGACACAUAUUUGUAAUUAUGUCAUUAAGGAUAAAACGAUGGGGGUUUAUGCAUAUUGCUUGAGUUUACAUUGUCUACAUGAUGUCAUCUUGCUUCAAACAUUACUCUGUUCCAUACGUAAUACUCUAGAUGGAUGCCAGAUAGAGGUCAAUGAGCGGAGUAAUAAUAGUAGAUGCAAGAAGGAGUCGGUCUACCUGACUUAUAUCAUGAUCAUUACCUUGAAUAAGAUGUCAUAACUAUGCGCUAUUCUGUUAAUUGCCCAACAGUAAUUUGUUUAUCAACCAUAUGCAAUUUUCAAGAGAGAAGCUUCUAGCGAAAACUAUGGCCCUAGGAUCUACUCAAAUUAUAUUACAAAAACUACCAAAAAUAUUGUUGUCAUUUAUUUUUUGUUAUUUAAUUUUAUAUUUAUAUUAUCUAUUUAUCAACUUUUAAUCCUUGCAAGUAACAAGUUCAAGGGGUUUGACAACCCUCUUGCCCGCGUUGGGUUCAAACGUUUGAUUCUGUGUCUGUAGGGGUUGGCGACGAGGGUUUGCGUGAUUCUCCUAUUGGUUCGAUAACCUUGGUUCUCACUAAGAGAAAUACUUAUCUCUACUGUGUUGCAUCUUCUCUCCUUUUAGGAGAAAAUCCCAACACAGUUUACAAAUAGCAAGCAUUCUCUCUCCCUGAAGUUACUUCUGGUUGUGGGGAAACCAAACAUGCGGGCUGGACCACGAAGGUUUAAUUAAGAGUCUCCAUUGCAAGGCAAAACUUGAUAAAAGUGGUCCGGACACCAUGGUCUGGACAUAUACGAAAGCUUUGAGGGUCCGAUUUGCAGAUGCCCUUACUCACCAAAGUAGAAGUUGGCGGUUUCAAAGGCCAAUAAUGUUUUUCUUAGAGACUCAAAGCCCAAUCUGUUUGCACAAAGUUUCAGAUAUAGAACUAUAGACCCAAUAAGUUUGCACAUUUUUCCAGUUAUUUCUCAAAACACAAAAUAACUAAAAUCUAAGUGGAAAAUAGCCACCUCGAUUUUGGCAAAUCCGCUUGCUCAUUCCUCAUUUUCUUUAUCAAAAAUACAAAACAACUCGAAUAAAUGCAAACCCAAAGGUAGGAAAAUUGACUGAAUUUUGUGGAAGUUAAAUAUCUCUAGGGUUUUUGGAAACCCGCUUGCUUAUUCGUCAUGGGGUUUUCUCAAAAUUAUAAAGCAACUCAACUUCAAGUGCAAAUCCACUAAAACCACAAAACAACUUAAAUAUAAGUUCAAACCUGAUGACAGGAAAAUUAACUACCUUUUAUCCGAAAUCAUUCGCGUGGGUUUUAACAAACCUUCUUGCUUGUUCCUCCUGAUCCUGGACAAGUUAUCCCCCUCGACGAUGGAUGCGAGAACGAAAAUUUUGAAACUCCAAGUCUUAAAGAAAACAAGUGGGCCAUGGUUGGUUUGUACAUGACGUGUCGACAAUGGGUGUCGCUCCGUGGUAUCAUUGCUUUAUGGAGUUUAGCUUCAUUUGUAUCCAUUUUACCCGGUUUUCUGUGAUAAACUGAAAAAGAAUUAAUGGAUAGAACGGGUGAAAUAAUUACCUCGUGUGUGGAACAAAAAAAAUAGAGUAAAAAACGGAGGGUUUGACCGUAUAGUCCAAGCAGGUAUGAUACGAUCGAUCAGUGACAUGCAACCAAACGGAGGGUUUGACCAUAUAGUCCAAGCAGGUGCACUUUCGCGAGAACGUGUGAAAUUUUGUGUUUUAACCUUUUAUGCAAAGAAAAUAUAAUUCUGACCUACGUUUGAAAAUAUAUGCAAAACUAACCUCUUUUCGUGACGCCAACCUCCCUCGCAUCUGGGUUGCACUAGAGACGUCAGGGACGUCUGGUACGGGGUGGCAUGACCGGCUGACCCGCUAAGUUUUUAACGUGGCAUGGUACCAAAUGCCAGAGACCCUGGCGUCUGUUACCGAAUGCCGAAGGCCUUGGCGUCCGGAUGACGUGGCACACAUUAUUUUAAAAAAAAAUGUGUGAUCUGCUACGAAACGCUAGGGUCCUUGAUGUCUGGUCCUGGACCAGACGCCAGGGACCCUGGCGUUCGGUACCAUGCCACGUCAGAAACUCAGCACGUCAGCUGGUCAUGUAGGCCCGUAUCAGACGCCAUGGUCACUGGCGUCUUCAGUGCAACCCAGACGACAGGGACGUUGGCGGGUCAGAUUUGAAAUUAUUUUUAAACGAAGAUCAAAACUGUAUUUUCUUUGUCCAAAAGGUUAAAACACAAAAUUUUGGCAGGCAGUUGAGCAAAUCGAAGCUGCAGCGCCGGCCAGCUCUUCAUCUAAACCCAGAAAAUCCUAGCUACCGCCUACGUACCUCGACCAUGCAAAGCGCAUCCCUUUUUGGAUUGACACCGCACGCACAGACUCUCAAUCUGGCCAACAACCGACCUAAUCACACAAUCACUUUGUACUGUAUAAGUUUCCAGCCAUUGACACAUGUUCAUACAUCGCAAUAGAGCAGAAGCAACAUCUUGCAGUCACCUGCUACACACGAGCGAGAAACCCAUCUCUCAACAAUACCUUCGCUAGUUCUACCUAUAUGGCUUCCACCGCGAGCAUGUUGGCCGUGGUCAUGGCGUGCGCGAUCCUCCUCGCCGGCAGCACGUGCCACGCCGCCCGCAACCUGGCCGACACGACGUCCGCGGCCGCCGCUCCGGCUGCAAGCACCGUCCCUGGCCUGCCGGCCAUGCCAACCUUGCCCGGCGUGCCCACGGACACGGUGACCCUGAUGCCACCCAUGCCGUCGGUCACCCUGCCCACCGUGCCGCAGGUGACGCUGCCGCCCAUGCCGGCCAUCGUCGUGCCCAGGGCGGUCCUGGCCCACGGCGGUCCUGCCGCCCAUGCCCAAGGUCACCCUCCCCACCGUGCCGCAGGUGACGAUGGCGCCGAUGCCCGCGAUUGUCGUGCCCAAGGUGACGCUGCCGCCGUUGCCGUUCGUCCCGAGUGUGAACGUGCCCAUGCCGUUCGCGGCUCCACCACCGUCAGCGUAGGCGCGUCCACCCGGUGGUGCUUUCGCCCUGUCCACGAUAGGGUGCCGUUCAUGUGAGAUUGGCGCCAGAUUACUACUCACUACGUGGGCACGACGUACACUUUCUUACAUGCAAGCUCCGUGUUUUAUAUGCGAUGUUUAAAUAGUUCUACCUUUUCUUCACGUCUCAGUAUAUGUAUUCUUAGUGUUUUACUGUUGAGGAUUGUCCAAUUGUAUGUAUAUUCGUGUUUUUCCAACAUACAAAUUUCUAUUUACGGUAAGUUAUACUUGUUUUGCAUAAGUGAGUUAUAAGGGGCGAUGGUACAUCAUCUCUUCCUUCCGAGGUGCUAAAUUCAACUGUAAUCC
RNAcentral lists this long non-coding RNA (34612 nucleotides) under Hordeum vulgare. RNAcentral's name for it is "long non-coding RNA (HVUL_LNC013993)". Lineage: Eukaryota; Viridiplantae; Streptophyta; Magnoliopsida; Poales; Poaceae. The record is from RNAcentral.